This 407-nucleotide ribosomal RNA is filed under the name uncultured bacterium. RNAcentral describes it as "partial 16S ribosomal RNA". It matches the Rfam family "Bacterial small subunit ribosomal RNA", at positions 30 to 526 of the family's 1533-position model. The record is from RNAcentral.
AUUGAACGCUGGCGGCAGGCCUAACACAUGCAAGUCGAGCGGAGUGGCGGACGGGUGAGUAAUGUCUAGGAAUCUGCCUGGUAGUGGGGGAUAACGUCCCGAAACGGGCGCUAAUACCGCACACUAUCAGAUCAGCCUAAGCCGGAUUAGCUAGUUGGUGGGGUAAGGGCCGACCAAGGCGACGAUCCGUAACUGGUCUGAGAGGAUGAUCAGUCACACUGGGACUGAGACACGGCCCAGACUCCGUCGGGAGGCAGCAUUGGGGUAUAUUGGACAAUGGGCGAAAGCCUGAUCCAGCCAUGCCGCGUGUGUGAAGAAGGCCUUCGGGUUGUAAAGCACUUUAAGCAGGGAGGCGUUACCAGCAGAAUAAGCACCGGCUAACUACGUGCCAGCAGCCGCGGUAAUAC